This 427-nucleotide ribosomal RNA is filed under the name uncultured Bacillaceae bacterium. RNAcentral describes it as "partial 16S ribosomal RNA". It matches the Rfam family "Bacterial small subunit ribosomal RNA", at positions 355 to 774 of the family's 1533-position model. The record is from RNAcentral. Lineage: Bacteria; Bacillati; Bacillota; Bacilli; Caryophanales; Bacillaceae. RNAcentral also lists the same sequence under 1 other name.
UAGGGAAUCUUCCGCAAUGGACGAAAGUCUGACGGAGCAACGCCGCGUGAGCGAAGAAGGUCUUCGGAUCGUAAAGCUCUGUUGUCAGGGAAGAACAAGUACGAGAGUAACUGCUCGUACCUUGACGGUACCUGACCAGAAAGCCACGGCUAACUACGUGCCAGCAGCCGCGGUAAUACGUAGGUGGCAAGCGUUGUCCGGAAUUAUUGGGCGUAAAGCGCGCGCAGGCGGUCCUUUAAGUCUGAUGUGAAAGCCCGCGGCUUAACCGCGGAGGGUCAUUGGAAACUGGAGGACUUGAGUGCAGAAGAGGAGAGUGGAAUUCCACGUGUAGCGGUGAAAUGCGUAGAGAUGUGGAGGAACACCAGUGGCGAAGGCGACUCUCUGGUCUGUAACUGACGCUGAGGCGCGAAAGCGUGGGGAGCAAACA